RNAcentral lists this unclassified non-coding RNA (27 nucleotides) under Mus musculus (house mouse). Its description in RNAcentral is "oocyte_clustered_small_RNA11497". The record is from RNAcentral. Lineage: Eukaryota; Metazoa; Chordata; Mammalia; Rodentia; Muridae.
UUGUCUUGUCACCGUCCAGCUUUCCAG